RNAcentral lists this ribosomal RNA (508 nucleotides) under Candida albicans. RNAcentral's name for it is "eukaryotic LSU rRNA". The stretch from base 141 to 294 matches the Rfam family "5.8S ribosomal RNA". Lineage: Eukaryota; Fungi; Ascomycota; Pichiomycetes; Serinales; Debaryomycetaceae. The record is from RNAcentral.
AACUGAAUUGCUUAUUGCACCACAUGUGUUUUUCUUUGAAACAAACUUGCUUUGGCGGUGGGCCCAGCCUGCCGCCAGAGGUCUAAACUUACAACCAAUUUUUUAUCAACUUGUCACACCAGAUUAUUACUAAUAGUCAAAACUUUCAACAACGGAUCUCUUGGUUCUCGCAUCGAUGAAGAACGCAGCGAAAUGCGAUACGUAAUAUGAAUUGCAGAUAUUCGUGAAUCAUCGAAUCUUUGAACGCACAUUGCGCCCUCUGGUAUUCCGGAGGGCAUGCCUGUUUGAGCGUCGUUUCUCCCUCAAACCGCUGGGUUUGGUGUUGAGCAAUACGACUUGGGUUUGCUUGAAAGACGGUAGUGGUAAGGCGGGAUCGCUUUGACAAUGGCUUAGGUCUAACCAAAAACAUUGCUUGCGGCGGCAACGUCUACCACGUAUAUCUUCAAACUUUGACCUCAAAUCAGGUAGGACUACCCGCUGAACUUAAGCAUAUCAAAAGCCGGAGGAA